RNAcentral lists this non-coding RNA (24 nucleotides) under Arabidopsis thaliana (thale cress). The record is from RNAcentral. Lineage: Eukaryota; Viridiplantae; Streptophyta; Magnoliopsida; Brassicales; Brassicaceae.
AUACUAACCGGAAUCCCAUGUAAC